CGGCGGCUGCGGGACGCGUCAGGCUAAUAUCCCUCUGGCCAAUAAAGUCCUUGAGGGAGCUGUCCCUUGCGGACCCCUGGGUCCGCAAAACGGCCCCCACCUGCACAUGCAGGCCUGAGAGGAUUACCAAGCCAACGGUCAUUGCGGCGCCGU
RNAcentral lists this non-coding RNA (153 nucleotides) under Defluviicoccus vanus. RNAcentral's name for it is "6S / SsrS RNA". It matches the Rfam family "6S / SsrS RNA". From Rfam's summary of the family: E. coli 6S RNA was the first non coding RNA to be sequenced, but its function was unknown until recently. It consists of 184 nucleotides that fold into an extended hairpin structure with a large single-stranded internal bulge. The 6S RNA specifically associates with RNA polymerase holoenzyme containing the sigma70 specificity factor. Lineage: Bacteria; Pseudomonadati; Pseudomonadota; Alphaproteobacteria; Rhodospirillales; Rhodospirillaceae. The record is from Rfam by way of RNAcentral.